AUUGAACGCUGGCGGCAUGCCUUACACAUGCAAGUCGAACGGCAGCACGGACUUCGGUCUGGGUGGCGAGUGGCGAACGGGUGAGUAAUGUAUCGGAACGUACCUUUCAGUGGGGGAUAACGUAGCGAAAGUUACGCUAAUACCGCAUAUUCUGUGAGCAGGAAAGCAGGGGAUCGCAAGACCUUGCGCUGAUUGAGCGGCCGAUAUCAGAUUAGCUAGUUGGUGAGGUAAAGGCUCACCAAGGCGACGAUCUGUAGCGGGUCUGAGAGGAUGAUCCGCCACACUGGAACUGAGACACGGUCCAGACUCCUACGGGAGGCAGCAGUGGGGAAUUUUGGACAAUGGGGGCAACCCUGAUCCAGCCAUGCCGCGUGAGUGAAGAAGGCCUUCGGGUUGUAAAGCUCUUUCGGCCGGGAAGAAAUCGCAUGGGCUAAUACCCUGUGCGGAUGACGGUACCGGCAUAAGAAGCACCGGCUAACUACGUG
This 485-nucleotide ribosomal RNA is filed under the name uncultured bacterium. RNAcentral's name for it is "bacterial SSU rRNA". It matches the Rfam family "Bacterial small subunit ribosomal RNA", at positions 30 to 507 of the family's 1533-position model. The record is from RNAcentral.